GUUGAUCCAAGGUAUGUUCUCUCUAACAACUUCGCUCCAGUAGACGAACUUCCUCCUACCGAAUGCGAAGUAGUGGAAGGCUCCCUUCCACCUUGCCUAGAUGGCGCGUAUAUUAGAAAUGGACCUAACCCUCAAUAUCUUCCACGUGGACCUUACCAUCUAUUCGACGGUGAUGGAAUGCUUCACUCCAUUAAAAUUUCCCAAGGUAA
RNAcentral lists this unclassified non-coding RNA (209 nucleotides) under Hevea brasiliensis (rubber tree). Lineage: Eukaryota; Viridiplantae; Streptophyta; Magnoliopsida; Malpighiales; Euphorbiaceae. The record is from RNAcentral.